AGAGUUUGAUCCUGGCUCAGAAUCAACGCUGGCGGCGUGCCUAACACAUGCAAGUCGAACGAGAAAGGGUAGCAAUACCUGAGUAAAGUGGCGCACGGGUGAGUAACACGUGACUGACCUACCCUCGAGUGGGGGAUAACCUAGGGAAACCUGGGCUAAUACCGCAUAAUACCCACAGGUCAAAGGAGCAAUUCGCUCGA
Molecule: ribosomal RNA, 200 nt
Filed under: uncultured bacterium
Lineage: Bacteria
Description: partial 16S ribosomal RNA
Rfam family: Bacterial small subunit ribosomal RNA
Source: RNAcentral